UGUAGAGUAACUGAAUGAGAAUGAGGCACCACACAAUGGAUUAUGUGGCUGCACAAUGGAAGACAUCAGCAUUGUGGGGGAGAGGAUUCCACACUGUGUAUACUGGGGCUCGGUAUAGUGGUGACAGUGAUGGACCUCUGCCAGGUGUGACAGGCCUAUCACAGCCAGCGCUGCAGCCUCCACUAUCCCAGAUAGAGGCUAGAGUUUAACUGAAUGGGGAUUGCUUCACAUGCCAGGAUAUGAGGAAUGCAGUAUGUACAAGAUACCAGCAAGGCUGAUUCACUCAUUGCGUAUCACUUGUAGUAAGGAUUACAAAAGACCCAAAAGUUAGUGAGAAUAUACUCGGAACCCAGAAAAGCCUGAAGAGAAAAGCCACGCAAUCACUGACCACAUCCUGGUACAUGAAUUAGGACAUGAAAUGAAUUCAUUCCCCAAA
Monodelphis domestica (gray short-tailed opossum) is the source of this 436-nucleotide long non-coding RNA. RefSeq lists it as uncharacterized. Lineage: Eukaryota; Metazoa; Chordata; Mammalia; Didelphimorphia; Didelphidae. The record is from RefSeq and is a predicted model, not a curated record.